CAGACGUGUGCACUUCCGACUGCUUAUGUUGAAGUGUUUGGGAUGUGGCUUUUAAUGAUGAGACCUUUUUUAUAAUCAGGCUCUCAAAAAGUAUAUAAAAAUUUGGAUAUAGAUUUAUCGGCCAACAUAUCGGUUAUCGGCUUUCAAAAAUA
This is a long non-coding RNA of Sinocyclocheilus rhinocerous, 152 nucleotides long. RefSeq lists it as uncharacterized. Lineage: Eukaryota; Metazoa; Chordata; Actinopteri; Cypriniformes; Cyprinidae. The record is from RefSeq and is a predicted model, not a curated record. The transcript is spliced from 3 exons.